Homo sapiens (human) is the source of this 892-nucleotide long non-coding RNA. Ensembl annotates it as long intergenic non-protein coding RNA 1531. Lineage: Eukaryota; Metazoa; Chordata; Mammalia; Primates; Hominidae. The record is from Ensembl.
GACCUCCAGCCUCUGUUCCACCAGCCACAACUACAGCUUUGAUUGGAGAAGAGACUGAUUUCAGCCACUUUCUCCUGGUAUAAAAGCCUGCCGUUGGUGGAAAAGGAAAAGGUGGUCCAGUUAGACAAGAUGCCACCGGCUUCUGAAACCAGACAUCUUUGAAAACCCACCCAUCUACCUGCAGGAAAAGGGUCUUGUUCUGUCGCCCAGGCUGGUUUGCAGUGGUGCCACCAUGGUUCACUGUAACCUUGAAGCCCCUGGGCUCAAGUGAUCCUCCUGCCUCAGCCUCCAGAGUAACGAGGACUACAGAUGGAGUCUUGCUGUGUCGUCCAGGCUGGAGUGCAGUGGUGCUAUCUUGGCUCACUGCAACCUCUGCUUCCCAGGUUCAAGUGAUUCUCCUACCUCAGCCUCCCGAGUAGCUGAGACUACAGAGACAGGGUUUCACUAUGUUGGCCAGGAUGUUCAACAACUUCUGCCUUCAAGCGAUCUUCCCUCCUGGGCCUCCCCAAGUGCUGAGUUUACAAGCAUCAGCCACCACACCCAGCCUAUGACAUUUUCUUCAUUAUGGCUGGUACUGCCUCAUGAAAAGGGGGUUCCUCAUGCUGGAUCUGAACAACCCAGCACAGGCAAGUCUGGGGAGCAAGGCAGGAGCCUGCAUGUGGACUCAAAGGACCGGCACCCGAAACAAAGCAGUGGCUGGCACAGGUGGACAAACCAGGCAAGAAAAGCAACUGUCCUUCGGAGCAGAGUCCACGUGAUGGGAAGAAACAGACACAGUCUCACUCUGUUGCCCAGGCUGAAGUCAACGGCAUGAUCUCAGCUCACUGCAACCUCCACCUCCUGGGUUCAAGCAAUUCUCGUGCCUCAGCCUCCCAAGUAGCUUGGAUUACAG